UACGUAGGUGGCGAACGUUAUCCGGAAUCACUGGGCGUAAAGGGUCCGUAGGCGGAACGACAAGUCGGACGUGACAAGGCGCGGCUCACCCGCGCGAGGUCGUUCGAAACUGUCGCUCUAGAAUCGGUGCGAGGUCGGUGGAAUUCCCGGUGUAGUGGUGGAAUGCGUAGAGAUCGGGAAGAACCUCAACGGCGCAGGCAGCCGGCUAGUGCCAGAUUGACGCUGAGGGACGAAAGCGUGGGGAGCGAACAGG
Molecule: ribosomal RNA, 253 nt
Filed under: uncultured bacterium
Lineage: Bacteria
Description: partial 16S ribosomal RNA
Rfam family: Bacterial small subunit ribosomal RNA
Source: RNAcentral